AUGCACGCUGGCGGCGUGCCUAACACAUGCAAGUCGCACGGAGUCCAGCCUUUAAGACCUUCGGGUCAAAGAGGGGAAGACUGAGUGGCGGACGGGUGAGUAACACGUGGGCAACCUGGCUCAUAGAGGGGGAUAACAGAGAGAAAUUUCUGCUAAUACCGCAUAAGCACACACUGCCGCAUGGCAGAGGGUGAAAAGAGAAUCGCUAUGAGAUGGACCCGCGUCUGAUUAGCCAGUUGGCAGGGUAAGAGCCUACCAAAGCGACGAUCAGUAGCCGAUCUGAGAGGAUGAACGGCCACAUUGGGACUGAGACACGGCCCAAACUCCUACGGGAGGCAGCAGUGGGGGAUAUUGCACAAUGGGGGGAACCCUGAUGCAGCGACGCCGCGUGAGUGAAGAAGUAUUUCGGUAUGUAAAGCUCUAUCAGCAGGGAAGAUAAUGACAGUACCUGAAUAAGAAGCCCCGGCUAACUACGU
RNAcentral lists this ribosomal RNA (476 nucleotides) under uncultured bacterium. RNAcentral describes it as "partial 16S ribosomal RNA". It matches the Rfam family "Bacterial small subunit ribosomal RNA", at positions 30 to 506 of the family's 1533-position model. The record is from RNAcentral.